Molecule: long non-coding RNA, 656 nt
Organism: Mustela erminea (ermine)
Lineage: Eukaryota; Metazoa; Chordata; Mammalia; Carnivora; Mustelidae
Exons: 3
Source: RefSeq, a predicted model, not a curated record
CAGGCAGAAUGAAUGUUAUUUAACGAGAAAGGGAACAGUGACGAGGACCAAGUGUGCAGCGUGAAGAUGAAUGACAUCAGUGUGAACGCCGACAUCGCACAAGGCAGAAAUUCCUCUUUCAACGGUGACCUUGCAGCGGUGGAGGGAUAAAGAAUUUCCAGGGAGGCAUUAGAUGGGACUACCUCAACUUCAGGGAAGCUGCUGUGCUCUGGAAAAACAGUAGAUGAUGCCCAAACAAGUCACACUGAUUGCUGGCUUCUCAGCCAACAUCCAUUCUCUUCGUCCUUAAGGAAUCCAGUUUUAUUUGGGACAGCACUGCGCUCAGCUCGAAGCCUGCCCUCCUAGCCCCUGUGGCACAAGGCCAUUAAGUGUGAGCAGACCUUGAGAAAGCUGUUAGACUUGCUUCCCUGCUUUAUGUGGAAGAGCCCCUCCCCACCCUUCAUCCCACGGGGAGAACACCACACCAUAUACCGAGCCUGGACCUCGCUCUCGAGACUCAAAGCAGGAUCUUGGAUUCAACAAUCCAGGGUAUUGCCGCUUCCGUGCAUUUCAAGAUAAGAAUGCCUGAAACUGAACUCAGUUUGUUUAUUCUUUUGCAUUUUCUGCGGCUUUAAUGGCAUCAUCUACCACCCCAGUCAGCUCAAUCAGAAACGUGU